Non-coding RNA from Opisthorchis viverrini, 132 nucleotides. The record is from Rfam. NCBI's taxonomy places the organism in Eukaryota, Metazoa, Platyhelminthes, Trematoda, Opisthorchiida, Opisthorchiidae.
CACUGAUGCUUCACUGCCGUACAACCAUGAGGUUCGUUUAUAUAUAUAUGUAUAUAUAUAUAUAUAUAUAUAUAUAUAUAUACAUAUAUAUAUAAACGAACCUCAUGGUUGUACGGCAGUGAAGCAUCAGUG